Molecule: small nucleolar RNA, 136 nt
Organism: Pteronotus mesoamericanus
Lineage: Eukaryota; Metazoa; Chordata; Mammalia; Chiroptera; Mormoopidae
Product: U8 small nucleolar RNA
Exons: 1
Source: RefSeq, a predicted model, not a curated record
UCGUCAGGUAGGAUAACACUUACCUGUUCCUCCUUUUUGAGGGCAGAUUGCGACAUGAUAAUUGGAGUUCACAUGACUCAUGAUUAGCAUUUCUGUGCAAUCAGGACUUGCAACACCCUGGUUGCUCCUAUAUGAU